RNAcentral lists this transfer RNA (76 nucleotides) under Laurus azorica. Its description in RNAcentral is "tRNA-Val". Lineage: Eukaryota; Viridiplantae; Streptophyta; Magnoliopsida; Laurales; Lauraceae. The record is from RNAcentral.
UGUUGUAAUUAUAUGGAAUCUCUCGGUCCUCGUUUACUUGCUAAAGAGCGUGGAGGUUCGAGUCCUCUUCAAGGCA